Molecule: long non-coding RNA, 415 nt
Filed under: Rattus norvegicus (Norway rat)
Lineage: Eukaryota; Metazoa; Chordata; Mammalia; Rodentia; Muridae
Description: long non-coding RNA NONRATT022376
Source: RNAcentral
CUCCUGGAAACUUCCUCUGACCCACACAGUCUCCAUGGCACGAUCCUGCACUUUCCCUGUCACAGUCCUUACUGCUCUCAGUGAGUGCUCACUUGUCCACCCCCAGGGCUGGCAGCUCAGAAGCCACAGUUCCUACUUUCUAGAAGUCUCUUCUCUUGAGCAUCCUAACCCGUUGUAGAAGGAAUGACAGUGCAUCAGUGCCAAUCUCGCUGGGCCCUUAAAGAGAACACAGACGCAGAAGAACCAGGCGUGAAUCCUUUUGCUGAAGCUUUGCUGUGCAGUGUCUAGUCUACAUAACAAGGAACACAGCAGAAGGAAACUUCACUCCAGUGGAACCCAUUGAAGAGUCCUCAUGAGCUCCACUCACUCUGAUUUCCUUUGAAGCAAACAGAUUCAUCACUGACAGCCCCAGGAU